RNAcentral lists this ribosomal RNA (253 nucleotides) under uncultured bacterium. RNAcentral's name for it is "partial 16S ribosomal RNA". It matches the Rfam family "Bacterial small subunit ribosomal RNA", at positions 524 to 776 of the family's 1533-position model. The record is from RNAcentral.
UACGGGGGGGGCAAGCGUUGUUCGGAAUUACUGGGCGUAAAGGGCUCGUAGGCGGCCAACUAAGUCGGACGUGAAAUCCCUCGGCUUAACCGGGGAACUGCGUCCGAUACUGGAUGGCUUGAGUUUGGGAGAGGGAUGCGGAAUUCCAGGUGUAGCGGUGAAAUGCGUAGAUAUCUGGAGGAACACCGGUGGCGAAGGCGGGUCUCUGGGCAGUAACUGACGCUGAGGAGCGAAAGCGUGGGGAGCGAACAGG